CUGGACCAAUUCCUCCGCCGCCGGCAUUUGCGGACCCGCCUCGUCCUGGAUUCGAACACGGGAUGCACGCAUUAUAAGCAGACACUGUAACCAUUAUGCCACUGCUGACCAUGUUAUGAGUUGGUACUCCAGGAUUCGAACACAGGAAAAACGCAUUGCAAGCGGACACUGUAACCAUUAUGCCACUGCUGACCACGAUAUGAGCAGGCUCUCCAGGGCCAUCGUAGAGUUGUGUGUCCUCUCCGGCUCCCUCAGCCAGCGACACGGGCUGUGAACCGCAUGCGGCACCUUCCGUGGUGGACCGCAUGCUUCCUAGGUUGCCAUGACAAUCAGGUCAAGCGAGGACCCGGAAGUAACAGACGGCGGAGAGCAGAGACGGAGACGCGGCGGGAGACGUGGAGGACGGCGUACUCGGGCCCACAGGGGUAUUUUAGGGGAACCAGUUGUCUUAAGCAUAGUGUAUAAGGUUGUCAUGGUGAUGGGGAGCACAUGGAUGACGUCAUCACUGACGGACACGCCGCUGGGCGGGUUUUCUGUCCCGUGUCCGGAUCAACGGCGUUUCACACCUGGUGAGGUCUCUAUAUAU
Pseudophryne corroboree (corroboree frog) is the source of this 586-nucleotide long non-coding RNA. RefSeq lists it as uncharacterized. NCBI's taxonomy places the organism in Eukaryota, Metazoa, Chordata, Amphibia, Anura, Myobatrachidae. The transcript has 5 exons. The record is from RefSeq and is a predicted model, not a curated record.